AGAGUUUGAUCCUGGCUCAGAACGAACGCUGGCGGCAUGCCUAACACAUGCAAGUCGAACGAGACCUUCGGGUCUAGUGGCGCACGGGUGCGUAACGCGUGGGAAUCUGCCCUGGGGUGCGGAAUAACUCGGAGAAAUCCGUGCUAAUACCGCAUAAUGUCUUCGGACCAAAGAUUUAUCGCCCUGGGAUGAGCCCGCGUAGGAUUAGCUAGUUGGUGGGGUAAAGGCCUACCAAGGCGACGAUCCUUAGCUGGUCUGAGAGGAUGAUCAGCCACACUGGGACUGAGACACGGCCCAGACUCCUACGGGAGGCAGCAAUGGGAAUAUUGGACAAUGGGCGAAAGCCUGAUCCAGCAAUGCCGCGUGAGUGAUGAAGGCCCUAGGGUUGUAAAGCUCUUUACCCGGGAUGAUAAUGACAGUACCGGGAGAAUAAGCUCCGGCUAACUCCGUG
This 451-nucleotide ribosomal RNA is filed under the name uncultured bacterium. RNAcentral's name for it is "bacterial SSU rRNA". It matches the Rfam family "Bacterial small subunit ribosomal RNA", at positions 8 to 507 of the family's 1533-position model. The record is from RNAcentral.